UAAUGUUUUCAGAUCACCUGAAAACAGUCUUACGUACUUGUAUUUAACACAUGAUUUGUUUUUCAAUGUGUAAUUGUCAAAGAAAUUAAAUUAUUAGUUAUUCAAAUCAUGUUUAUAGGUUAAAACCACAUUGACAGUGAUUCAAAGGAUAUCUUUUUUAACAUUGCCAUUAAAAACAUUUAAUUAAUCUUUAAAUUGAAAUUAGGUUGCAUACAUAAUUUAUCAGAGAAGUAUAUAAAUAAGGAGGCUCAGAACAAGAACAGUUGUUGACGCAUCUUUGGAGUUGCUGUUGCUUGAAGCCUCGUCCAGAGAAGUUUCCAAUAUGCUGCGAUUGAUUUUGCUUUUUGCUUUGUGUUUCGCUGUUGUUAUGUCACAGUUUCGUGGCAGAGGUUUAUUUGCACCACGUCCUUGGUUUGGUAACAACAAUGGGUGGAACAACAAUAAUUGGUGGAACAACAACAACUGGUGGGACAACAACAAUGGGUGGAACAACAACAACUGGUGGAACAACAACAACUGGUGGAACAACAACAACAAUUGGUUCGGUAACAACAACGGUUGGUGAUGAAUCAGUGACUGGUGAUAGAAAGUUCCAAAGAUGGCGGUCACAAUGGUCGUGGUUUCUGGAUGAAGUUUAAGAACUUGCUGUGAUUUUUUUAUAAUAAAAAAUAUCAUUAUG
Molecule: long non-coding RNA, 679 nt
Organism: Magallana angulata
Lineage: Eukaryota; Metazoa; Mollusca; Bivalvia; Ostreida; Ostreidae
Exons: 2
Source: RefSeq, a predicted model, not a curated record